RNAcentral lists this long non-coding RNA (1404 nucleotides) under Vigna radiata. RNAcentral describes it as "long non-coding RNA (VRAD_LNC004007)". The record is from RNAcentral. Lineage: Eukaryota; Viridiplantae; Streptophyta; Magnoliopsida; Fabales; Fabaceae.
UGGUGUCAAAGUAUCAUUUUCCAUUAUAAAAUAAACCCCCUAGCACGUUGACCAGCUAAAUUGUCAUCAUCAUCUGUUCACUCUGUUCACUCAUCAUCAUCUGUUCACUCAUCAUCAUCUGUUCACCAUGGAUCCACCACCGAAUGCUGGCGGAACAACGCCUUUGCAGCAAGCAAAGCGUAGACGCCAUGACGCCAGACGAGCGCUGGCAUUAGCUCAAUUUGAUUAUGCGAAGGAGCUCGUGAGAGACGACCGCCUUCAAGAUGCGGCAAAAGAGGCUAAGAAAGCGAAGGUAAUUCUCAAGGAAACCGACAAGGAAGAUGCUAUCGAAUAGCUUCGGAGGAUGACGGUGUAAGAUUUUUUGUUCUUCUAAGUUCUUUUUUGCGAGUCCAAGAACCGUUCUUUUGUUGCAGGAACCUAAUUCUUUUGUAUACCAAAAUCGUUCGUUCUUAUGUGAGACUUUCUUUUGUUCUUGAGACUUUCUUUUUCAAGUUUUUGGUGCAUGUUAAUGAACCAACACCAGUAUGAUCAUCUUUGACUUAAGGCUUGAUGAAGUUUGCUGUUAUUGAUUCACUUGUUCUGAUGAGAUCAUUUCCUGAUCACAUGUCUUUAUAAAAAUGCCACUCCCUCACACUCCAGAUAUAUAAUUUAAGUAUAUAUAAUAUUAUCAAAACAUAUCUUUAAAUCUGAACAACUUAACCUUUUUGUAAAAGGGGUACGAAAGAAGCCAAAUCUGCAUAUGAAUAUGAAAGAAGCCAAAAGAAUCAAGCUUCACCUAUCUUCAAUUUUAUGAGUUGAAUUUUCUAUAAUCAAUUAUCUUCCAAUAAAAGCAGUGGAAUUCAUAUAUGCAUCUACGUGUAUGUUAAAUAAAAUCCAAAUAUGGUACAUGCACCUUAAUUUCUCUUUCUGCAUAACAAGUGGUUUAAAAUUGAAAAUGGGUUUCUUUCUUUUUCAUUCUUUUAAGCUUCUACAGGAAUUUGACUUUAUUCCACACAAACACCAUUUCUGCACCUUAAUUUCACCUUUUUUGUAUUCAUUUUCUGUUUCUGUUUAAAAGGGUCAUCUGUUCUUGCAGGGAAGCUGUUUAUCAGUUUCAGUUUUUAGAAAUAGAUACUUUCUGUAUAAUUAAUCACUGAUUUGAGUACCCUCUUAAAUAUUAUGGUAUUUGUUUACCUUAUAUAAUUACAGUAGUUUCUGGCCAAAGAAUUCAUGGUGGUGUUUGAAUGAGUUUCAUGGUCUACUUAUUAGAGAAUAAAGGGAAAAAGAAAGAGAAAGAAUGGGAAAGUGGUUUUUUUUAUAUGUUAUAAAGAAAGUAAAACAGAUGUGUCAGCCCCACAUGCUUUAGGUAAAAAGAUUGCAAAAAUAGUUCUGUUCAUGUUAAAAUGGUGGAAAAUUAAGAUAAAC